GCGGACGUGGUGGAAUUGGUAGACACGCUAGAUUUAGGUUCUAGUGAGAAAAUCUCGUGAGAGUUCAAGUCUCUCCGUCCGUA
This 83-nucleotide transfer RNA is filed under the name Schizymenia dubyi. Its description in RNAcentral is "tRNA-Leu". It matches the Rfam family "tRNA". From Rfam's summary of the family: Transfer RNA (tRNA) molecules are approximately 80 nucleotides in length. Their secondary structure includes four short double-helical elements and three loops (D, anti-codon, and T loops). RNAcentral also lists the same sequence under 1 other name. Lineage: Eukaryota; Rhodophyta; Florideophyceae; Nemastomatales; Schizymeniaceae. The record is from RNAcentral.